This 253-nucleotide ribosomal RNA is filed under the name uncultured bacterium. RNAcentral's name for it is "partial 16S ribosomal RNA". It matches the Rfam family "Bacterial small subunit ribosomal RNA", at positions 524 to 776 of the family's 1533-position model. The record is from RNAcentral.
UACGGGGGGGGCAAGCGUUGCUCGGAAUCACUGGGCGUAAAGCGCACGUAGGCGGCUUCUUAAGUCAGGGGUGAAAUCCUGGAGCUCAACUCCAGAACUGCCCUUGAUACUGAGGAGCUUGAGUCCGGGAGAGGUGAGUGGAACUGCGAGUGUAGAGGUGAAAUUCGUAGAUAUUCGCAAGAACACCAGUGGCGAAGGCGGCUUACUGGUCCGGUACUGACGCUGAGGUGCGAAAGCGUGGGGAGCAAACAGG